Long non-coding RNA from Scomber scombrus (Atlantic mackerel), 527 nucleotides. RefSeq lists it as uncharacterized. The record is from RefSeq and is a predicted model, not a curated record. The transcript is spliced from 3 exons. NCBI's taxonomy places the organism in Eukaryota, Metazoa, Chordata, Actinopteri, Scombriformes, Scombridae.
ACCGAGCGGCACAUUCAGAGAACAUGGCUGAGUGGGCCGGUCAUUUUCACCUCAUUUGCUCUGAACGCCUUCCUCGUGUUAUUUUUAAUAGGUUUCUGUUUUACAUAUCUGAGUCUGAAGAGGAACAUCUCCAAGUACCAGGUGAAUGAGCCUUCACCUUUGACCUCUGACACCCAAGAGAGUCUGGAGACUCCACAGCUGCCUGAGACUCAUUCAGAGUGUAUUUUCUACAAGGUUCAGCUUCCUCCAUCCACACUGCCUUGAUACCAACAGAACCUGAACACCAGGAGACCGGUGUCUAUCUUUCUCAUUUAUUCAUGAAUUGUUCUGCAACUGCAUGUAAAGUUUUUAGUCAUCUGUAUUAAAAAAAAGACAUUUUUUUUACGAUUUAAAUGGAAAUCUUGUUGCUGUUGGUGAUGAAGUUGACUUGUUUGCUUUUGCAAUCUUUUGAAUUUCAACCAUUUAAAAUAAGUCACAGUUAUUGUUACAUACUUCCUGUUUCUACAGACCUCUGUAGACUUGAGUUG